This 377-nucleotide ribosomal RNA is filed under the name uncultured bacterium. RNAcentral's name for it is "bacterial SSU rRNA". It matches the Rfam family "Bacterial small subunit ribosomal RNA", at positions 28 to 407 of the family's 1533-position model. The record is from RNAcentral.
AUUGAACGCUGGCGGCAUGCUUUACACAUGCAAGUCGAGCGGCAGCGCGGGGGCAACCCUGGCGGCGAGCGGCGAACGGGUGAGGAAUACAUCGGAACGUACCCCGGAGUGGGGGAUAACGCCGCGAAAGCGGCGCUAAUACCGCAUAUGCUCUGAGGGGGAAAGUGGGGGACCGCAAGGCCUCACGCUCUGGGAGCGGCCGAUGUCCGAUUAGCUAGUUGGUGGGGUAAUGGCUUACCAAGGCGACGAUCGGUAGCUGGUCUGAGAGGAUGAUCAGCCACACUGGGACUGAGACACGGCCCAGACUCCUACGGGAGGCAGCAGUGGGGAAUUUUGGACAAUGGGGGCAACCCUGAUCCAGCCAUGCCGCGUGCGGG